ACUCCUACGGGAGGCAGCAGUGGGGAAUAUUGCACAAUGGGCGCAAGCCUGAUGCAGCCAUGCCGCGUGUGUGAAGAAGGCCUUCGGGUUGUAAAGCACUUUCAGUUGUGAGGAAGGUGGUGUCGUUAAUAGCGGCAUCAUUUGACGUUAGCAACAGAAGAAGCACCGGCUAACUCCGUGCCAGCAGCCGCGGUAAUACGGAGGGUGCGAGCGUUAAUCGGAAUUACUGGGCGUAAAGCGCAUGCAGGUGGUUUGUUAAGUCAGAUGUGAAAGCCCGGGGCUCAACCUCGGAACUGCAUUUGAAACUGGCAGGACUAGAGUACUGUAGAGGGGGGUAGAAUUUCAGGUGUAGCGGUGAAAUGCGUAGAGAUCUGAAGGAAUACCGGUGGCGAAGGCGGCCCCCUGGACAGAUACUGACACUCAGAUGCGAAAGCGUGGGGAGCAAACAGGAUUAGAUACCCUGGUAGCACAGAG
Molecule: ribosomal RNA, 474 nt
Filed under: uncultured bacterium
Lineage: Bacteria
Description: bacterial SSU rRNA
Rfam family: Bacterial small subunit ribosomal RNA
Source: RNAcentral